Molecule: ribosomal RNA, 491 nt
Filed under: uncultured bacterium
Lineage: Bacteria
Description: bacterial SSU rRNA
Rfam family: Bacterial small subunit ribosomal RNA
Source: RNAcentral
UCAGUUGUGAAAGUUUGCGGCUCAACCGUAAAAUUGCAGUUGAUACUGGGUGUCUUGAGUACAGUAGAGGCAGGCGGAAUUCGUGGUGUAGCGGUGAAAUGCUUAGAUAUCACGAAGAACUCCGAUUGCGAAGGCAGCUUGCUGGACUGUAACUGACGCUGAUGCUCGAAAGUGUGGGUAUCAAACAGGAUUAGAUACCCUGGUAGUCCACACAGUAAACGAUGAAUACUCGCUGUUUGCGAUAUACAGUAAGCGGCCAAGCGAAAGCGUUAAGUAUUCCACCUGGGGAGUACGCCGGCAACGGUGAAACUCAAAGGAAUUGACGGGGGCCCGCACAGGCGGAGGAACAUGUGGUUUAAUUCGAUGAUACGCGAGGAACCUUACCCGGGCUUAAAUUGCAGAUGAAUUACGGUGAAAGCCGUAAGCCGCAAGGCAUCUGUGAAGGUGCUGCAUGGUUGUCGUCAGCUCGUGCCAUGAGGUGUCGGCUUAAG